This 2546-nucleotide ribosomal RNA is filed under the name Escherichia coli. Its description in RNAcentral is "partial 23S ribosomal RNA". It matches the Rfam family "Bacterial large subunit ribosomal RNA", at positions 398 to 2925 of the family's 2925-position model. The record is from RNAcentral. Lineage: Bacteria; Pseudomonadati; Pseudomonadota; Gammaproteobacteria; Enterobacterales; Enterobacteriaceae.
UGUGAGCUCGAUGAGUAGGGCGGGACACGUGGUAUCCUGUCUGAAUAUGGGGGGACCAUCCUCCAAGGCUAAAUACUCCUGACUGACCGAUAGUGAACCAGUACCGUGAGGGAAAGGCGAAAAGAACCCCGGCGAGGGGAGUGAAAAAGAACCUGAAACCGUGUACGUACAAGCAGUGGGAGCCUCUUUUAUGGGGUGACUGCGUACCUUUUGUAUAAUGGGUCAGCGACUUAUAUUCUGUAGCAAGGUUAACCGAAUAGGGGAGCCGAAGGGAAACCGAGUCUUAACUGGGCGUUAAGUUGCAGGGUAUAGACCCGAAACCCGGUGAUCUAGCCAUGGGCAGGUUGAAGGUUGGGUAACACUAACUGGAGGACCGAACCGACUAAUGUUGAAAAAUUAGCGGAUGACUUGUGGCUGGGGGUGAAAGGCCAAUCAAACCGGGAGAUAGCUGGUUCUCCCCGAAAGCUAUUUAGGUAGCGCCUCGUGAAUUCAUCUCCGGGGGUAGAGCACUGUUUCGGCAAGGGGGUCAUCCCGACUUACCAACCCGAUGCAAACUGCGAAUACCGGAGAAUGUUAUCACGGGAGACACACGGCGGGUGCUAACGUCCGUCGUGAAGAGGGAAACAACCCAGACCGCCAGCUAAGGUCCCAAAGUCAUGGUUAAGUGGGAAACGAUGUGGGAAGGCCCAGACAGCCAGGAUGUUGGCUUAGAAGCAGCCAUCAUUUAAAGAAAGCGUAAUAGCUCACUGGUCGAGUCGGCCUGCGCGGAAGAUGUAACGGGGCUAAACCAUGCACCGAAGCUGCGGCAGCGACACUAUGUGUUGUUGGGUAGGGGAGCGUUCUGUAAGCCUGUGAAGGUGUACUGUGAGGUAUGCUGGAGGUAUCAGAAGUGCGAAUGCUGACAUAAGUAACGAUAAAGCGGGUGAAAAGCCCGCUCGCCGGAAGACCAAGGGUUCCUGUCCAACGUUAAUCGGGGCAGGGUGAGUCGACCCCUAAGGCGAGGCCGAAAGGCGUAGUCGAUGGGAAACAGGUUAAUAUUCCUGUACUUGGUGUUACUGCGAAGGGGGGACGGAGAAGGCUAUGUUGGCCGGGCGACGGUUGUCCCGGUUUAAGCGUGUAGGCUGGUUUUCCAGGCAAAUCCGGAAAAUCAAGGCUGAGGCGUGAUGACGAGGCACUACGGUGCUGAAGCAACAAAUGCCCUGCUUCCAGGAAAAGCCUCUAAGCAUCAGGUAACAUCAAAUCGUACCCCAAACCGACACAGGUGGUCAGGUAGAGAAUACCAAGGCGCUUGAGAGAACUCGGGUGAAGGAACUAGGCAAAAUGGUGCCGUAACUUCGGGAGAAGGCACGCUGAUAUGUAGGUGAAGUCCCUCGCGGAUGGAGCUGAAAUCAGUCGAAGAUACCAGCUGGCUGCAACUGUUUAUUAAAAACACAGCACUGUGCAAACACGAAAGUGGACGUAUACGGUGUGACGCCUGCCCGGUGCCGGAAGGUUAAUUGAUGGGGUCAGCGCAAGCGAAGCUCUUGAUCGAAGCCCCGGUAAACGGCGGCCGUAACUAUAACGGUCCUAAGGUAGCGAAAUUCCUUGUCGGGUAAGUUCCGACCUGCACGAAUGGCGUAAUGAUGGCCAGGCUGUCUCCACCCGAGACUCAGUGAAAUUGAACUCGCUGUGAAGAUGCAGUGUACCCGCGGCAAGACGGAAAGACCCCGUGAACCUUUACUAUAGCUUGACACUGAACAUUGAGCCUUGAUGUGUAGGAUAGGUGGGAGGCUUGGAAGUGUGGACGCCAGUCUGCAUGGAGCCGACCUUGAAAUACCACCCUUUAAUGUUUGAUGUUCUAACGUGGACCCGUGAUCCGGGUUGCGGACAGUGUCUGGUGGGUAGUUUGACUGGGGCGGUCUCCUCCUAAAGAGUAACGGAGGAGCACGAAGGUUGGCUAAUCCUGGUCGGACAUCAGGAGGUUAGUGCAAUGGCAUAAGCCAGCUUGACUGCGAGCGUGACGGCGCGAGCAGGUGCGAAAGCAGGUCAUAGUGAUCCGGUGGUUCUGAAUGGAAGGGCCAUCGCUCAACGGAUAAAAGGUACUCCGGGGAUAACAGGCUGAUACCGCCCAAGAGUUCAUAUCGACGGCGGUGUUUGGCACCUCGAUGUCGGCUCAUCACAUCCUGGGGCUGAAGUAGGUCCCAAGGGUAUGGCUGUUCGCCAUUUAAAGUGGUACGCGAGCUGGGUUUAGAACGUCGUGAGACAGUUCGGUCCCUAUCUGCCGUGGGCGCUGGAGAACUGAGGGGGGCUGCUCCUAGUACGAGAGGACCGGAGUGGACGCAUCACUGGUGUUCGGGUUGUCAUGCCAAUGGCACUGCCCGGUAGCUAAAUGCGGAAGAGAUAAGUGCUGAAAGCAUCUAAGCACGAAACUUGCCCCGAGAUGAGUUCUCCCUGACUCCUUGAGAGUCCUGAAGGAACGUUGAAGACGACGACGUUGAUAGGCCGGGUGUGUAAGCGCAGCGAUGCGUUGAGCUAACCGGUACUAAUGAACCGUGAGGCUUAACCUU